GGCCCGUUGCGGAAGGUCCGCACCCGCCUCCGAUAUGAUGUCCUUCGUUGUUUGAGAGUUAAGCAGGGACACGCUCGUUCGACUCGAGCACGGGCCA
Molecule: non-coding RNA, 97 nt
Organism: Mycena filopes
Lineage: Eukaryota; Fungi; Basidiomycota; Agaricomycetes; Agaricales; Mycenaceae
Source: the annotation of a GenBank genome assembly